RNAcentral lists this ribosomal RNA (384 nucleotides) under uncultured bacterium. RNAcentral describes it as "bacterial SSU rRNA". It matches the Rfam family "Bacterial small subunit ribosomal RNA", at positions 28 to 403 of the family's 1533-position model. The record is from RNAcentral.
GAUGAACGCUAGCGGCAGGCUUAACACAUGCAAGUCGAGGGCAGCAUGACACGGAGAUUCGUCGAAGUGUCGAUGGCGACCGGCGCAAGGGUGCGUAACGCGUGAGCAACUUGCCCGUUUCUGGGGAAUAACCGUUGGAAACGACGACUAAUACCCCAUAGUAUCAUGAUGAGGCAUCUUAUUGUGAUUAAAGAAAUUCGGAAACGGAUAGGCUCGCGUGACAUUAGCUAGAUGGCGGGGUAACGGCCCACCAUGGCGACGAUGUCUAGGGGUUCUGAGAGGAAGGUCCCCCACACUGGAACUGAGACACGGUCCAGACUCCUACGGAGGCAGCAGUGAGGAAUAUUGGUCAAUGGUCUGACGACUGAACCAGCAUGCCGCGUG